GACGAACGCUGGCGGCGUGCUUAACACAUGCAAGUCGAACGAGAGCGUAGAGAAAGCUUGCUUUUUCUACAAUCUAGUGGCAAACGGGUGAGUAACGCGUAAACAACCUGCCCUACGGAUGGGGACAACAGCUGGAAACGGCUGCUAAUACCGAAUACGUUCCGAAAGUCGCAUGACUAUCGGAAGAAAGGAUGGCCUCUAUUUAUAAGCUAUCGCCGGAGGAGGGGUUUGCGUCUGAUUAGCUAGUUGGAGGGGUAACGGCCCACCAAGGCGACGAUCAGUAGCCGGUCUGAGAGGAUGAACGGCCACAUUGGAACUGAGACACGGUCCAGACUCCUACGGGAGGCAGCAGUGGGGAAUCUUCCGCAAUGGGCGAAAGCCUGGCGGAGCAACGCCGCGUGAGUGAAGACGGCCUUCGGGUUGUAAAGCUCUGUUAUACGGGACGAAUAAUCUUGUGGUUAAUACCCAUGAGAAGUGACGGUACCGUAAGAGAAAGCCACGGCUAACUACGUG
RNAcentral lists this ribosomal RNA (513 nucleotides) under uncultured bacterium. Its description in RNAcentral is "partial 16S ribosomal RNA". It matches the Rfam family "Bacterial small subunit ribosomal RNA", at positions 28 to 507 of the family's 1533-position model. The record is from RNAcentral.